CGGCGGACGGGUGAGUAAUGCAUAGGAAUUUGCCCAGUAGUGGGGGAUAGCCCGGGGAAACCCGGAUUAAUACCGCAUACGCCCUACGGGGGAAAGCAGGGGAUCUUCGGACCUUGCGCUAUUGGAUGAGCCUAUGUCGGAUUAGCUGGUUGGUGGGGUAAAGGCCUACCAAGGCGACGAUCCGUAGCUGGUCUGAGAGGAUGAUCAGCCACAUCGGGACUGAGACACGGCCCGAACUCCUACGGGAGGCAGCAGUGGGGAAUAUUGGACAAUGGGGGCAACCCUGAUCCAGCCAUGCCGCGUGUGUGAAGAAGGCUUUCGGGUUGUAAAGCACUUUCAGUGAGGAGGAAAACCUUAUGGCGAAUACCCAUGAGGCUUGACGUUACUCACAGAAGAAGCACCGGCUAACUCCGUGCCAGCAGCCGCGGUAAUACGGAGGGUGCAAGCGUUAAUCGGAAUUACUGGGCGUAAAGCGCGCGUAGGUGGUUUGAUAAGCGAGAUGUGAAAGCCCCGGGCUUAACCUGGGAACGGCAUUUCGAACUGUCAGGCUAG
This 552-nucleotide ribosomal RNA is filed under the name Marinobacter segnicrescens. RNAcentral's name for it is "bacterial SSU rRNA". It matches the Rfam family "Bacterial small subunit ribosomal RNA", at positions 96 to 644 of the family's 1533-position model. Lineage: Bacteria; Pseudomonadati; Pseudomonadota; Gammaproteobacteria; Pseudomonadales; Marinobacteraceae. The record is from RNAcentral.